RNAcentral lists this long non-coding RNA (588 nucleotides) under Olea europaea (common olive). RNAcentral describes it as "long non-coding RNA (OEUR_LNC008641)". Lineage: Eukaryota; Viridiplantae; Streptophyta; Magnoliopsida; Lamiales; Oleaceae. The record is from RNAcentral.
AUUAAUUCACUAUGAAAGGAGAGUACAAUACAGCAAAAUGUUUCAAUAAAAUUGACAGAGGGACCUUGUAUUUAUAGUAUAAAAUCAAGCCCUAAAAGAGUCCCAAAAAAGGUAAGAAAUCUAAUGCAAUUUAGACUCCUAUUUGAGUCACACUUCUAACACAUACUACAUGCAGAAGUGAAACGUGAGCCUCUAAAACAAUCCCGGAUUAUAUAUCCCCUAGGCACAUUACUUCUUUUAAACAGAUGGAAAACCGUCAACUUUUUUGGCUUAUGUUUGCUAAGAAGAGGUAAUGCAUCGAGAUGUUAAAUUGUAUCAGAGAAAAAAUGAUUUCAGACAACAAAUCUCAAUUCUACUAAGAAGGUAUAAUGUGUCGAGAUGCUAAACUGUAUCAAACAACAGCAAAUUUGGAAUAAUAGAUCUCAAUAUUUUGAACUAGUACAAAUUUCUUUUACCUUCCAUCUUUUGUUGGUGUCAACCAUAAAGAUAUAACUUGACAAAAUAGAGAAGCUGGCAAAUUGCUCAAACUCUCAUUCAUUUGAAUUAUUUGAGAGUAGCCUGAAGAUGCAGACUGCAUUUCUUCACCCC